AGUGAACGCUGGCGGUAGGCCUAACACAUGCAAGUCGAACGGCAGCACAGUAAGAGCUUGCUCUUACGGGUGGCGAGUGGCGGACGGGUGAGGAAUACAUCGGAAUCUACUUUUUCGUGGGGGAUAACGUAGGGAAACUUACGCUAAUACCGCAUACGACCUACGGGUGAAAGCAGGGGAUCUUCGGACCUUGCGCGAUUGAAUGAGCCGAUGUCGGAUUAGCUAGUUGGCGGGGGAAAGGCCCACCAAGGCGACGAUCCGUAGCUGGUCUGAGAGGAUGGUCAGCCACACUGGAACUGAGACAAGGUCCCGACUCCUACGGGAGGCAGCAGUGGGGAAUUUUGGACCAUGGGCGCAAGCCUGAUCCAGCCAUACCGCGUGGGUGAAGAAGGCCUUCGGGUUGUAAAGCCCCUUUGUUGGGAAAGAAAAGCAGCAGGUUAAUACCCCGCUGUUCUGACGGUACCCAAAGAAUAAGCACCGGCUAACUUCGUG
RNAcentral lists this ribosomal RNA (492 nucleotides) under uncultured bacterium. RNAcentral describes it as "partial 16S ribosomal RNA". It matches the Rfam family "Bacterial small subunit ribosomal RNA", at positions 29 to 507 of the family's 1533-position model. The record is from RNAcentral.